RNA transcript from Musa acuminata AAA Group (dessert banana), 2338 nucleotides. It is a transcript of the gene named trihelix transcription factor ASIL2-like, with no coding region annotated. NCBI's taxonomy places the organism in Eukaryota, Viridiplantae, Streptophyta, Magnoliopsida, Zingiberales, Musaceae. The record is from RefSeq and is a predicted model, not a curated record. The transcript is spliced from 5 exons.
GCUCGAGCACACCCGUAAGACUAAGACCUUGCUAACUUUGGGAGUGGUGCACUAGUAGUAUCUUUAGCGAGCGCGCCGCCCACCUCAGGAUGGUGCCCCGACUCAUAACCAAACAAAACACCAUUGUUCCCUUCCGCCUACCACCACCCCUCCUUUCUGGCGACCACCACCUCCGCCACUUCCUCUUCCGUGAUGGCCUUCUCCGCCGACGCUUCCUCCCCUAAGAAGGACCCACCCUCCCCCGCAGUGCUUGCCGCCUCCGCUGCAGCAGAGGCGGCGGCGUCCCGCUGUCAGUCACCUUCCCCGUCACCGUCCCCCUCGCCGGAAAGAUCCGCUUCCCUGCUUCCCCUACCGGCGUCUCUCCCGCCACCGCUGCCCUCCUCCUCCGCCACCCGCCGGCUGGCCGCCCCCAUAUGGACCCACGAGGAGAUCCUUGCCCUCAUCGGCGCCUACCGUGACAAGUGGUACGCCUUGCGUCGCGGCAACCUCCGCGCCUCCCACUGGCAGGAGGUCGCCGACGACGUCGCCGAUCGCUGCCCCUCCGGCCCCUCCCCGCCCAAGACCUACAUACAGUGCCGCCACAAGGUCGAGAAGCUCCGCAAGCGCUACCGCAGCGAGCGCCGCAAGUCCCUCCAGUUCGACACCUCCCUCCCUCCCUCCUCCUGGGUCUACUUCCGCAAGAUGCACGCCACGGAGCACGGUGGCAGCGUAGAAGUAGGCGAACCCCACCGACCGUCCGCCUGCCAAUCCUCGGUCCCGCCCCACCCGCCCUCCUCCGACGACGAAGAGAAUGACGACUUCGAGCACCGCGGCGCUGGCGGCGGGAGCAACACCCAAAGUCUCCACCACCUCAUGACCAACGGCGGCUGCGCGAUCGGUGAGCUCAGAUUCACGAUCCCCAAAGCAGUCCGGUCCAAGGUCUAUAGAGCUGACGACAGGGUCGCGCCGAACCCUAACGCCGCCACCACCCGCUUCUUCAAGGGUUUCAGCGGCGUGGGGCCCGUGAAGGAGGAGAUGCGGCGCAAGAUGGAGAAGAAGAUGAGGAGGAGGAGGAGGAGGAGGAGGUUGGAGAUGGAGUCGAGUGCGGUCAGGGAAAUGGUGUCGGCGCUGAGAAUGCUGGGUGACGGGUGCCUGGGGAUGGAACAAAGGAAGAUGGAGAUGGCGCGGGAGAUAGAGGAGGAGAGGAUGGAGAUGGAGCUGAAGCGCACGGAGCUUAUCCUCGACUCACAGCGCCGCAUCCUCGAUGCGUUCUUGAAGGGUCUCUCCGGGAAGAAGCGGGCGAAGGUGUCGGCCGAGGAUUGACAAGGUUCCAUUCAUAUCAGAAAGGGGAAUCCACAUCCAUGAUUGAGAUAUGUUGAUGCAGUCUGCCAGCUGAGCUGUUGUUUCUUUAUUUAUUUAACAGUGUAAGGAAAUCACAUGUUCUUUGGAUGCAAGGUUCGUAGAUAUUUUAUGGAUCAAGUUAUUAAAGUGGCUGUCUAGCCAUAUGCAACCUUUUAACCGAGGAAAAGCUAUUGUUGUUAAAGCUCCAUUAGCACGUUGCCAGGUCCUGCCACAGAACUGGAGCAAGUGAUGAUGGGUUCCAUGACGGCCGAACAAUCAUUGGACUUGGUUGCCAAUUCAGAUUCUGGACAUCCAAUGGGAAGUCCACAUGGAAACUUACUGUUGCUUGGCAUGGCAUGGCAUUUGAGCCACCCCAAAAGGCCAACAGAGGUCAACAACACUGGCGCGCUACGGCCCCUGUACCUCCAGCUUUCCCUGCUGCGGCGGAGAUGGUUCGCCAUGGUUGCCCUCGGAAGCCCCCCUUUCCAUCUCCAUCUCCUCCGCGUGGAACGUGGAGUGAACGCCAUACAGCGCAUAGAACAAGGUGAUGAAGCAGCUCCACAAGACAAACCUCAGGAAGGACCUCUUCUUGAGUCUAGCCAUGAGGAACACGCUGAGGAAGAUGGAGGCAGCCGCCGGCCACGGCAUCAGCGGAACCGACCACUCCGCCGUGCUGCGGUUGCAUGGGACUUUGCGGUGGAAGAUCCCGGUGAUGGCGAUGGCGGCCGUGCCGAACAUUGCUAGUCCCCACCAGUACCCGCCGUUGAGCUUCCAUGAAAGGGAAAAGCCAAUCGAAGUCGACGUGAGCAGCACAAGGAAGAGGAGAGUGGGGAGGGGACUGCUGAUGCCGCCGCUGCCGCCGAGCUUCACGUAGCGUCGGUAGAUGAGUGCGCCGGCCACCAGGUAGAAUACUAUCUGCGUUCCGAUCGAUAUCAUCUCGAUUACUAUUUCGAGGUCCGUGAAGAGUGCGAUGGACGCUGUACAUAUCCCUGCAUUAUGAAGGAGAAAUCUUCUUAUA